UCUAGAACUCGAGAUAUGGGCUGAACACUAAACAAUGUCUGGGCUGGAGGACAGAUUCUGACUUCUCUUUUGUUGCUAUAAUUUGAACUUGAAAACGUCCGUUUUGAAUCUUGGACUCUUCAUGAAAGUGUUAGGCCUAUGUCUUAGCAUUCUAUC
Molecule: non-coding RNA, 156 nt
Organism: Populus trichocarpa (black cottonwood)
Lineage: Eukaryota; Viridiplantae; Streptophyta; Magnoliopsida; Malpighiales; Salicaceae
Source: Rfam